RNAcentral lists this ribosomal RNA (253 nucleotides) under uncultured bacterium. RNAcentral describes it as "partial 16S ribosomal RNA". It matches the Rfam family "Bacterial small subunit ribosomal RNA", at positions 524 to 776 of the family's 1533-position model. The record is from RNAcentral.
UACGGGGGGGGCAAGCGUUGUUCGGAAUUACUGGGCGUAAAGGGUUCGUAGGUGGCUUGCUAAGUCAGACGUGAAAUCCCUCAGCUUAACUGGGGAACUGCGUCUGAUACUGGCGAGCUUGAGUGCAGGAGAGGAACGCAGAAUUCCAGGUGUAGCGGUGAAAUGCGUAGAUAUCUGGAGGAAUACCGGUGGCGAAGGCGGCGUUCUGGACUGCAACUGACGCUGAUGAACGAAAGCCAGGGGAGCAAACGGG